GACGAACGCUGGCGGCGUGCUUAACACAUGCAAGUCGAACGGAAAGGCCCUGCUUUUGUGGGGUGCUAGAGUGGCGAACGGGUGAGUAACACGUGAGUAACCUGCCCUUGACUUUGGGAUAACUUCAGGAAACUGGGGCUAAUACCGGAUAGGAGCUCCUGCUGCAUGGUGGGGGUUGGAAAGUUUCGGCGGUUGGGGAUGGACUCGCGGCUUAUCAGCUUGUUGGUGGGGUUGUGGCUUACCAAGACUUUGACGGGUACCCGGCCUGAGAGGGUGACCGGCCACAUGGGGACUGAGAUACGGCCCAGACUCCUACGGGAGGCAGCAGUGGGGAAUAUUGCACAAUGGGCGGAAGCCUGAUGCAGCAACGCCGCGUGCGGGAUGACGGCCUUCGGGUUGUAAACCGCUUUCGCCUGUGACGAAGCGUGAGUGACGGUAAUGGGUAAAGAAGCACCGGCUAACUACGUG
This 468-nucleotide ribosomal RNA is filed under the name uncultured bacterium. Its description in RNAcentral is "partial 16S ribosomal RNA". It matches the Rfam family "Bacterial small subunit ribosomal RNA", at positions 28 to 507 of the family's 1533-position model. The record is from RNAcentral.